AAGUACAAAGAUAAAAACACAGUCCGGUUGGUAGUCCGGGCGCAGAAUAAAGAAUUCUGUCAGUAACCUGCCUCCUUUGGUUGUCCGUUCUUUGUUCAGCUAAA
This is a regulatory RNA element of Robinsoniella sp. RHS, 104 nucleotides long. It matches the Rfam family "azaaromatic riboswitch aptamer (yjdF RNA)". The record is from Rfam. NCBI's taxonomy places the organism in Bacteria, Bacillati, Bacillota, Clostridia, Lachnospirales, Lachnospiraceae.